This 465-nucleotide ribosomal RNA is filed under the name uncultured bacterium. Its description in RNAcentral is "partial 16S ribosomal RNA". It matches the Rfam family "Bacterial small subunit ribosomal RNA", at positions 28 to 507 of the family's 1533-position model. The record is from RNAcentral.
GACGAACGCUGGCGGCGUGCUUAACACAUGCAAGUCGAACGGAAAGGCCCUGCUUGCAGGGUACUCGAGUGGCGAACGGGUGAGUAACACGUGGGUGAUCUGCCCUGCACUUCGGGAUAAGCCUGGGAAACUGGGUCUAAUACCGGAUAGUAGCCAUUUUUAGCGUGAUGGUUGGAAAGUUUUUUCGGUGUAGGAUGAGCUCGCGGCCUAUCAGCUUGUUGGUGGGAUAAUGGCCUACCAAGGCGGCGACGGGUCGCCGGCCUGAGAGGGUGGACGGCCACAUUGAGACUGAGAUACGGCCCAGACUCCUACGGGAGGCAGCAGUGGGGAAUAUUGCACAAUGGGCGCAAGCCUGAUGCAGCGACGCCGCGUAGGGGAUGACGGCCCUCGGGUUGUAAACUCCUUUCGCUAGGGACGAAGCUUUUUGUGACGGUACCUAGAUAAGAAGCACCGGCUAACUACGUG